RNAcentral lists this long non-coding RNA (402 nucleotides) under Androctonus crassicauda. Lineage: Eukaryota; Metazoa; Arthropoda; Arachnida; Scorpiones; Buthidae. The record is from RNAcentral.
CAAAACUCACUAAUAGAAAAAUGAUAAGAAAGAGAGGACCUACAUUAUUUGAAUUACUCCAUAAUGACAAGGAUAAAAUAGAGAGAAAUAAAAAAGCUGGAGUAUAUGAUAUUCCAAUUCAUAAUAAUGAUGAAGGAAAAGUUCAGCACUACAUUGGUAGUAUAACGAGAGGGUUAAGCGUGAGAAUUAAAGAACAUAAAGAGGAUAUUAGGAUGGAAACUUAGCACAGCGUUGGCUAUAAAAACAUACGAAAGUAAUGUAGAUAUAAAGUGGAACAAUGCAAAGGUUAUAAAGCCAUUACGAGAUGUUAAAGGAAUCGCUACUGUAGAGAGUAUCCAGAUUGAGAAAAGGAAACAGGCAUGUGAUGUCAUUAACGCUAAUGAGCCACUAAUAUUACCGAUG